AAAAAAACCGAAACCCUAAAAAAUUAUCCCAAAAUCCAAAUUCGCUUUUAUUGCGUCUCUUUCUCUCUCUUUCUCUCUUUCCUCCAAAUCGGUGGCAGAUGCGAAUCAGAGGUUCGCCAUGAAUUGCGAGACUUGUCAACUCAAGGAGCUCUCUCUGGAGCUGUUGGAGGUUCGAGAUGUGUUGCGCUGCGUUUUGCAUACCAUCCUAUUUCAUAGAGCUUUGGGUCUUGUUCGGCCAAAGGAUGUCGACUGUGACCUCUUUGAGAUCACUUAUGUGCAGUGUGGAGAUGCUGAAUUAGAAAAAAAAAUUGAUGAAAAGGUCGAGCAGUUUGUUUGUUGGGUAGAGAAGCAUCCAAACAAGAAAAGCCAGGUAUGCUUGUCUUUCUAUGAGCUCAAAUACAAGCAACCAACUUGGUUCAGUAGCAAGACUGAACGCCACUACUGGGAGCAAUGGAUUAUUAGUUUUCACGUAACAAAUCCUAAAAUACAUGGAAAAUCUAAAGCAACAACCAUUCCUGGAGAAAAUGCAUUGGAGGAAACGAGUAUGAGACGUGCUAAUUUGGAGUCAUCACUCCGCGAAGUCCUGUUCCAAAUCAUAAUGUUUGCAAAUGAGAAGAAAGACCAUAUACCUUUAAUAACAAACUCGGAAGUCGUAUCAUUUCCGUAUGAGAUUACAAUCCCAAGGUGACACCUCUUUUUCCUCCGACGUGUUGACAGUUCAUCCGACUCCUCUUUCGGUUGGCGCACUGAAGUCAUUAAGAGGGUACUUCAAACUGGGCAUCCUUCCUUGCUCAACUGACCUUGCUAUAUAUGAUUGUACAGAGUGAAGAUGACGGUGUGAGAAACCUAGUUCCGUUUCUUUAGGCUUUUGCACUGUAUAUAAGCCCUUCUUUCUCAUUCCUUGUAUGGAUUGGAUUUGUAUAAUCUCUUGCUAGAUGUGAGAAUGACUACACAACAUGCGUUCUACCGUGACAUGCGUGCUGCAAUGUAUCAGUAAAUAUAAUCCAAUUCUGAUGGGAAUGAAAAAAAAAAGAAAGAAAAAAGUGUGGGGUUUUCUCGUGUA
Molecule: RNA transcript, 1063 nt
Organism: Ananas comosus (pineapple)
Lineage: Eukaryota; Viridiplantae; Streptophyta; Magnoliopsida; Poales; Bromeliaceae
Gene name: autophagy-related protein 101-like
Exons: 8
Source: RefSeq, a predicted model, not a curated record